GAUGAAGAACGUAGCGAAAUGCGAUACUUGGUGUGAAUUGCAGAAUCCCGUGAACCAUCGAGUCUUUGAACGCAAGUUGCGCCCGAAGCCAUUAGGCCGAGGGCACGCCUGCCUGGGUGUCACACACCGUUACCCUCGCGCCAACGUCCAUCGUUGGCCGCGGCGCGGGGCGUGCGCUGACCUCCCGCGAGCGGGGUCUCGUGGUUGGUUGAAAAUCGAGUUCGCGGUCGAGGGUGCCGUGAUGAAAUGGUGGAUGGGCGACGCCCGAGGCCAAUCACGCGCGACUCUGUCCGUCUCGGACUCCUGGACCCCUUCGGCGUCUCCGGACGCUCUUUGGCGAGACCUCAGGUCAGGCGGGGCUACCCGCUGAGUUUAAGCAUAUCAAUAAGCGGAGGA
This 396-nucleotide unclassified non-coding RNA is filed under the name soil metagenome. RNAcentral's name for it is "partial contains 5.8S ribosomal RNA, internal transcribed spacer 2, and large subunit ribosomal RNA". The stretch from base 1 to 122 matches the Rfam family "5.8S ribosomal RNA", at positions 35 to 154 of the family's 154-position model. The record is from RNAcentral.